GUCAAUGGCCAUGCCACCCUGAAUGCACCUGAUCUUGGAACCUAAGCAGGGUCAGGUCUGGUUAGUACUUGGGUGGGAGAAGUUGUGGAUGCUCAAGAUACAUGAUA
This is a ribosomal RNA of Cercocebus atys (sooty mangabey), 107 nucleotides long. The record is from Ensembl. Lineage: Eukaryota; Metazoa; Chordata; Mammalia; Primates; Cercopithecidae.